GAAGCGAACGCGGUGAACUGAAACAUCUAAGUAACCGCAGGAAAAGAAAUCAACCGAGAUUCCCAAAGUAGUGGCGAGCGAAAUGGGAUGAGCCUUGCACUCUUUAUUUGUAUUGUUAGCCGAACGCUCUGGAAAGUGCGGCCAUAGCAGGUGAUAGCCCUGUAGGCGAAAACAGUAUGAAAGAACUAGGUGUGCGACAAGUAGGGCGGGACACGUGAAAUCCUGUCUGAAGAUGGGGGGACCAUCCUCCAAGGCUAAAUACUCGUGAUCGACCGAUAGUGAACCAGUACCGUGAGGGAAAGGCGAAAAGAACCCCGGGAGGGGAGUGAAAUAGAUCCUGAAACCGCAUGCAUACAAACAGUCGGAGCCUCGCAAGGGGUGACGGCGUACCUUUUGUAUAAUGGGUCAGCGACUUACGUUCAGUAGCAAGCUUAACCGUAUAGGGCAGGCGUAGCGAAAGCGAGUCCGAAUAGGGCGUUCAGUUGCUGGGCGUAGACCCGAAACCAGGUGAUCUAUCCAUGGCCAGGAUGAAGGUGCGGUAACACGUACUGGAGGUCCGAACCCACUAACGUUGAAAAGUUAGGGGAUGAGCUGUGGAUAGGGGUGAAAGGCUAAACAAACCUGGAAAUAGCUGGUUCUCUCCGAAAACUAUUUAGGUAGUGCCUCGUGUCUCACCUUCGGGGGUAGAGCACUGUCAUGGUUGGGGGGUCUAUUGCAGAUUACCCCGCCAUAGCAAACUCCGAAUACCGAAGAGUGCAAUCACGGGAGACAGACAUCGGGUGCUAACGUCCGGUGUCAAGAGGGAAACAACCCAGACCGCCAGCUAAGGUCCCCAAAUAUAGCUAAGUGGGAAACGAAGUGGGAAGGCUAAAACAGUCAGGAGGUUGGCUUAGAAGCAGCCACCCUUUAAAGAAAGCGUAAUAGCUCACUGAUCGAGUCGUCCUGCGCGGAAGAUGUAACGGGGCUAAGCUAUAUACCGAAGCUGCGGAUGCG
This 993-nucleotide ribosomal RNA is filed under the name Burkholderia cenocepacia. Its description in RNAcentral is "partial 23S ribosomal RNA". It matches the Rfam family "Bacterial large subunit ribosomal RNA", at positions 176 to 1210 of the family's 2925-position model. The record is from RNAcentral. Lineage: Bacteria; Pseudomonadati; Pseudomonadota; Betaproteobacteria; Burkholderiales; Burkholderiaceae.